CUCUCUAGAAGACUACUAGUUUGAUAGGCUGGGUGUGUAAUGGAUGAAAGUCCUUUAGCUGACCAGUACUAAUAGAGCGUUUGGCUUAUCUUUAAUAAAGCAU
This 103-nucleotide ribosomal RNA is filed under the name Campylobacter jejuni. Its description in RNAcentral is "partial 23S ribosomal RNA". It matches the Rfam family "Bacterial large subunit ribosomal RNA", at positions 2833 to 2925 of the family's 2925-position model. The record is from RNAcentral. Lineage: Bacteria; Pseudomonadati; Campylobacterota; Epsilonproteobacteria; Campylobacterales; Campylobacteraceae.